This 346-nucleotide unclassified non-coding RNA is filed under the name Nocardia arthritidis. RNAcentral's name for it is "16S-23S ribosomal RNA intergenic spacer". Lineage: Bacteria; Bacillati; Actinomycetota; Actinomycetes; Mycobacteriales; Nocardiaceae. The record is from RNAcentral.
CUAAGGAGCACUUCUCCACGAUCGUCCACGUUGGUGGAUGUGGUUGUGGCAGAGACCAUGUCGGACUCGAAUGUAGUCCGGUGGAAGCUCAUGGGUGGAACGCUGACAACUUCUUCGCAUCAACGGCAAUCUUGUGUGGUUGUCGGCGACAGAUAUAUCGACACACUGUUGGGUCCUGAAAGAACAGGCGUUCUUUCCAGGCAAAAAAUACGAUUCGCCCGGAUUUCCUUGACACCUCGGGGUCUUUGAUGUCGAUGGUCUUGGAGUUCGAUCCGGUGUGGGUGUGUUGUUUGAGAACUGCACAGUGGACGCGAGCAUCUUUGUUAGUAAGUGUUUAAGAGCGUAC